This 253-nucleotide ribosomal RNA is filed under the name uncultured bacterium. RNAcentral describes it as "partial 16S ribosomal RNA". It matches the Rfam family "Bacterial small subunit ribosomal RNA", at positions 524 to 776 of the family's 1533-position model. The record is from RNAcentral.
UACGUAGGGGGCAAGCGUUGUUCGGAUUCACUGGGCGUAAAGGGUGCGUAGGUGGCUUGGUAAGUUUGAUGUGAAAUCUCCGGGCUUAACCCGGAAAUGGCAUUGAAUACUAUUGAGCUGGAGGUUUGGAGGGGGGACUGGAAUUCUCGGUGUAGCAGUGAAAUGCGUAGAUAUCGAGAGGAACACCAGUGGCGAAGGCGAGUCCCUGGACAACACCUGACACUGAGGCACGAAAGCUAGGGGAGCAAACAGG